This 1284-nucleotide ribosomal RNA is filed under the name Bacillus pumilus. Its description in RNAcentral is "bacterial SSU rRNA". It matches the Rfam family "Bacterial small subunit ribosomal RNA", at positions 88 to 1359 of the family's 1533-position model. Lineage: Bacteria; Bacillati; Bacillota; Bacilli; Caryophanales; Bacillaceae. The record is from RNAcentral.
GAUGUUAGCGGCGGACGGGUGAGAAACACGUGGGUAACCUGCCUGUAAGACUGGGAUAACUCCGGGAAACCGGAGCUAAUACCGGAUAGUUCCUUGAACCGCAUGGUUCAAGGAUGAAAGACGGUUUCGGCUGUCACUUACAGAUGGACCCGCGGCGCAUUAGCUAGUUGGUGGGGUAAUGGCUCACCAAGGCGACGAUGCGUAGCCGACCUGAGAGGGUGAUCGGCCACACUGGGACUGAGACACGGCCCAGACUCCUACGGGAGGCAGCAGUAGGGAAUCUUCCGCAAUGGACGAAAGUCUGACGGAGCAACGCCGCGUGAGUGAUGAAGGUUUUCGGAUCGUAAAGCUCUGUUGUUAGGGAAGAACAAGUGCGAGAGUAACUGCUCGCACCUUGACGGUACCUAACCAGAAAGCCACGGCUAACUACGUGCCAGCAGCCGCGGUAAUACGUAGGUGGCAAGCGUUGUCCGGAAUUAUUGGGCGUAAAGGGCUCGCAGGCGGUUUCUUAAGUCUGAUGUGAAAGCCCCCGGCUCAACCGGGGAGGGUCAUUGGAAACUGGGAAACUUGAGUGCAGAAGAGGAGAGUGGAAUUCCACGUGUAGCGGUGAAAUGCGUAGAGAUGUGGAGGAACACCAGUGGCGAAGGCGACUCUCUGGUCUGUAACUGACGCUGAGGAGCGAAAGCGUGGGGAGCGAACAGGAUUAGAUACCCUGGUAGUCCACGCCGUAAACGAUGAGUGCUAAGUGUUAGGGGGUUUCCGCCCCUUAGUGCUGCAGCUAACGCAUUAAGCACUCCGCCUGGGGAGUACGGUCGCAAGACUGAAACUCAAAGGAAUUGACGGGGGCCCGCACAAGCGGUGGAGCAUGUGGUUUAAUUCGAAGCAACGCGAAGAACCUUACCAGGUCUUGACAUCCUCUGACAACCCUAGAGAUAGGGCUUUCCCUUCGGGGACAGAGUGACAGGUGGUGCAUGGUUGUCGUCAGCUCGUGUCGUGAGAUGUUGGGUUAAGUCCCGCAACGAGCGCAACCCUUGAUCUUAGUUGCCAGCAUUUAGUUGGGCACUCUAAGGUGACUGCCGGUGACAAACCGGAGGAAGGUGGGGAUGACGUCAAAUCAUCAUGCCCCUUAUGACCUGGGCUACACACGUGCUACAAUGGACAGAACAAAGGGCUGCGAGACCGCAAGGUUUAGCCAAUCCCAUAAAUCUGUUCUCAGUUCGGAUCGCAGUCUGCAACUCGACUGCGUGAAGCUGGAAUCGCUAGUAAUCGCGGAUCAGCAUGCCG